CCUACGGGAGGCUGCAGUGGGGAAUAUUGGACAAUGGGGGCAACCCUGAUCCAGCCAUGCCGCGUGUGUGAAGAAGGCCCUCGGGUUGUAAAGCACUUUCAGUGAGGAAGAACGCCUGGUGGUUAAUACCCAUCAGGAAAGACAUCACUCACAGAAGAAGCACCGGCUAACUCCGUGCCAGCAGUCGCGGUAAUACGGAGGGUGCGAGCGUUAAUCGGAAUUACUGGGCGUAAAGCGCGCGUAGGUGGCUUGAUAAGCCGGUUGUGAAAGCCCCGGGCUCAACCUGGGAACGGCAUCCGGAACUGUCAAGCUAGAGUGUAGGAGAGGAAGGUAGAAUUCCCGGUGUAGCGGUGAAAUGCGUAGAGAUCGGGAGGAAUACCAGUGGCGAAGGCGGCCUUCUGGACUGACACUGACACUGAGGUGCGAAAGCGUGGGUAGCAAACAGGAUUAGAUACCCGAGUAGUC
Molecule: ribosomal RNA, 465 nt
Filed under: Vreelandella stevensii
Lineage: Bacteria; Pseudomonadati; Pseudomonadota; Gammaproteobacteria; Oceanospirillales; Halomonadaceae
Description: partial 16S ribosomal RNA
Rfam family: Bacterial small subunit ribosomal RNA
Source: RNAcentral